Molecule: long non-coding RNA, 1232 nt
Filed under: Gallus gallus (chicken)
Lineage: Eukaryota; Metazoa; Chordata; Aves; Galliformes; Phasianidae
Description: lncRNA (ENSGALG00010025611.1)
Source: RNAcentral
CUGCAACUGGGGAAGGUUUUCUGGUUUAAGAUUCUUCCUUUGUAGAGUUUUCUCUGCGUGGUUCAAUCUUUAGAGCUAGCCUUCUGUGGAAAUCUCAGCUGUGCAGUAAAGGAACCUAUGGCACUCUGUGGGAUCCUGAGAGAGCAGCAUGUUAUCUUCUUGUACUGAAAGACCAUGCUGAACAUGCUUGGUAGUGAUUUUACCAAACUAAACUAUAUGAGACUAGCUUACAUCACAGGUGUUCUCUUCAGAUGGAGUAAUUUAUCUGUUACAUUACAUUUACAUUGUAAAUAUGUUGCAUUAAUGCUGAGAUCAUGAAGAUUUAGAGAAACUUGAUGUUUAGCCAUGUUUGCAGAGUACAGGUAAGCUUGAAGCUCUCAAAGAAGGCACAUUGUAAUGACCUCAUAAAUGCAAUUUAAACACGAUCCUAAUAAUUUAUGAGGUCUGCUCUGGAAGUAAUGCCUCCUAUUUCAUUAUGUUGGCCCACAGAAUCAGAGGUGAAUGUUAAUGGUAUGAUGGUAGAAGUUGAACCUUCCAAUCAAUAUGCUGUUGCAUAUUCUUACCAUGUGACAAAUGGCAGCAGGGGUGCAGUCUGUCCAAAGGGCACCUGACAUGGAAGUGCGAAUGAAGCAAAGGUGUGUCAUUGAAUUCCUCCAAAUGGAAAAAAUGACAUUAAAUGAAGCUUGCUGAAUGUUCAUGGACAUCAAACAGUGGAUGUGAGCACAGUGAGCUGGUGUGUGGUGUGUUUCAGCAAUGGUGACAGUGAUGUGAAAGACAAGCCAUGUUCCAGACAGCUAUGCACAGCUGUCACACCAUGAAAUGAAGAAAGUAUCAAUCACCUUAUCUGCGCAAACUGGCAGAUUGCCACCAGGGAACUGUGUACAGAGCUGAGUAUUUGCUUUGAUGCAUUGGAAAAGAUGGUGGUAAUGUUGGAAUAUCACAAAGUUUGUGCUAGGUGGGUCCCAAAAAUGCUCACACAAGAAGAGAAAAAACAUCUUUACGCAACUUUGUCAGGACCUAUUGAAUAUGAGAAAGAAAGGGACAGUUUCCUGGGUCACAUCGUUACUGGUGAUGUUGAUGGUGAUUACACCGCUACAAGCUGGAGUUAAAACAGUGGUGCAUUGAGUGACCACAUUUGAAUUCCUUGCUGAAGAAAAAGUUCAAGACACAAUCCUCAGUAAGGGUGAUCCUUCUGGAUUUCCUGGAACUCAGACAAACCAUUAAUUCUGACU